GACGAACGCUGGCGGCGUGCUUAACACAUGCAAGUCGAACGGAAAGGCCCUGCUUUUGUGGGGUGCUCGAGUGGCGAACGGGUGAGUAACACGUGAGCAACCUGCCCUUGACUUUGGGAUAACUUCAGGAAACUGGGGCUAAUACCGGAUAGGAGCUCCUGCUGCAUGGUGGGGGUUGGAAAGUUUCGGCGGUUGGGGAUGGACUCGCGGCUUAUCAGCUUGUUGGUGGGGUAGUGGCUUACCAAGGCUUUGACGGGUAGCCGGCCUGAGAGGGUGACCGGCCACAUUGGGACUGAGAUACGGCCCAGACUCCUACGGGAGGCAGCAGUGGGGAAUAUUGCACAAUGGGCGGAAGCCUGAUGCAGCAACGCCGCGUGCGGGAUGACGGCCUUCGGGUUGUAAACCGCUUUCGCCUGUGACGAAGCGUGAGUGACGGUAAUGGGUAAAGAAGCACCGGCUAACUACGUGC
RNAcentral lists this ribosomal RNA (469 nucleotides) under uncultured bacterium. Its description in RNAcentral is "partial 16S ribosomal RNA". It matches the Rfam family "Bacterial small subunit ribosomal RNA", at positions 28 to 508 of the family's 1533-position model. The record is from RNAcentral.